Molecule: long non-coding RNA, 1314 nt
Organism: Sarcophilus harrisii (Tasmanian devil)
Lineage: Eukaryota; Metazoa; Chordata; Mammalia; Dasyuromorphia; Dasyuridae
Exons: 2
Source: RefSeq, a predicted model, not a curated record
AGGAGGAAGAAGAAGAAGAAGAGGAGGAGGAAAAGGAGAGGGGCCUGGAACAAAUUUAAUCGUCGUUUAUGGAUUUCCCAACUCGCCACAGCUAAGGACCCUCAAAGCUAAGUCUCAGGGGAUGAUGGGUUGGAAAUUUACCUGGGAGAGUAAUGACUAGGAGGGGUUGGGACAAGCGACUCAGCGUCAUUGGACCUCCCUGUCUCCUUCUCAGAAAAAGGCCGAGAGGGGUGUCUGAGGUUCCUGAGUACCCGCCUGAGGCUGUGGUGGCCGCCCUGCUCAGGCCCCACCCCACUUUGUCCCAUCUCUGGCUCCCCUCGGCCCUUGGCAGACCUGCUGUCUGCUGCCCGGAAUGACUAAGGGCUGACGUGAGGCUCGAUCAGGGGGAGCGUUGCUGCACCGCGGAGCCAGGGAGGAAGCCAGCUGGCUCAGAGUCCACUGCACCGCCAGGAACCACUUGCCCGGGCUUUAUGGGCACUGCCCAGGGGAGCCAAGUUCUGGGAAGGCCCUGCUGCUAGUAUCUGCAGUGGGCUAUGCUCGCCAGGGGCUGGCUGGAGGAGCGCAGACAGGUACUUGUCCCACUGUGCAGGUGCCCUUAUUUACAGAGAAAUCAUCAUUCUGGUCCUGCCCACCCCUCCCCACCUCCCAAGGACAUCAAAGUGACCUCCUCUGAAACGUGCAGGGUGUGGUGGGUAACUGUCACCCAGAGCAAGGAAGAGCCAAGGAUGGGCCCCGGGACAGGUGUGUCUGAAAGGGCAAAGGCCGGUCAGCUGUAGAGCCCGAGACGCCCAGCCAGGGGCUCCUGGAAGGCUCUCCACUCCCUCUAGACGCCUCAAUAGUCACUUGGUACCUGGGCAGCUGCCAACAGAGGCGCUCACAGAUGAUUUCCAACUGGCCACACAGCUUCACCUGCAGAGUGCAUCAACACCCAGAGAUCCCGGAGACCCUCGUCCACAGGCACCAUAGAGACUUGGGAUCCCAGGCUCAGCACACAGCUGCCCCAAGUCUCCCAGGCUCAGCUGUGUGCGUGUCAAGGCCGAUUCUUUAGUCUCCAGUCUCCUGUCUUUCUAGACCUCUGUUUCCUCAUUUAAAACCAGAGAAAAGGGUAUUUUUCAGUACUUAUCAGCAACCAGAGACCUUCAAUUUAUCUUGCAAAAACAGAGUAGUCUGCAUGGCACCUUCUCCAUUAGACUGUAAGCUCCUGGAAGGCAGGGACUUUUGCCUUUCUUUGUAUCCUUAGAACUUAGUCUCGUGGCUGGCAUACAGUAGGUGCUUAAUAAAUGUUGAGCCUCAAAUGUGGUUCAAUGAUUUGGA